RNAcentral lists this ribosomal RNA (440 nucleotides) under uncultured bacterium. RNAcentral's name for it is "partial 16S ribosomal RNA". It matches the Rfam family "Bacterial small subunit ribosomal RNA", at positions 338 to 795 of the family's 1533-position model. The record is from RNAcentral.
CCUACGGGAGGCAGCAGUGGGGAAUAUUGCACAAUGGGGGAAACCCUGAUGCAGCAACGCCGCGUGAGUGAAGAAGUAUUUCGGUAUGUAAAGCUCUAUCAGCAGGGAAGAGAAUGACGGUACCUGACUAAGAAGCCCCGGCUAACUACGUGCCAGCAGCCGCGGUAAUACGUAGGGGGCAAGCGUUAUCCGGAUUUAGUGGGUGUAAAGGGAGCGUAGACGGGGGUACAAGUCUGAAGUGAAAGCCCGUGGCUCAACCGCGGAACUGCUUUGGAAACUGUAAAGCUGGAGUACUGGAAGGGAAGGCGGAAUUCAUAGUGUAGCGGUGAAAUGCGUAGAUAUUAGGAGGAACACCAGUGGCGAAGGCGGCCUGCUGGACAGAAACUGACGUUGAGGCUCGAAAGCGUGGGGAGCAAACAGGAUUAGAUACCCCUGUAGUC